CGUCGGAAAUAAAUGACAAUAAUUGACUAAAAUUCUGGCGAUUACAACUUCUGUUUCUACAGUUUGAGGUUCUGUUAGUAAUUUUUAAAUGUCAGAAAUGUUUCAAGCAAAUUUUUUACCAAAAGACAAGAAAUAAAGCCGAUAAGGACACGGAAAAAUACUGCUAGACGGGAAAAAUUUAGUUAAUGGACCACCAAUCGUUUUCCGAAUCUGAUUCUGUGGAAAGAUGAAUCAUUAUUCGAGAAAUAUAAUGAAAUGCUAGAUCAGUCUGGGAAUUUAUUGGAUGGUGUUCUUUUUUAGGAGUUUUUUUUACAACAAAAAUUGUCAAAUUUAUAAAGAAUUUUAACAUGGUUAGUUUUUGUGUCUGCAAAUUUUCACAAAAUCUAAUUAUAGCUAUUUUUCUUGUU
This is a long non-coding RNA of Tribolium madens (black flour beetle), 407 nucleotides long. RefSeq lists it as uncharacterized. The record is from RefSeq and is a predicted model, not a curated record. Lineage: Eukaryota; Metazoa; Arthropoda; Insecta; Coleoptera; Tenebrionidae. The transcript has 3 exons.